GGUUAAGCGACUAAGCGUACACGGUGGAUGCCCUGGCAGUCAGAGGCGAUGAAGGACGUGCUAAUCUGCGAUAAGCGUCGGUGAGGUGAUAUGAACCGUUAUAACCGGCGAUUUCCGAAUGGGGAAACCCAGUGUGUUUCGACACACUAUCAUUAACUGAAUCCAUAGGUUAAUGAGGCGAACCGGGGGAACUGAAACAUCUAAGUACCCCGAGGAAAAGAAAUCAACCGAGAUUCCCCCAGUAGCGGCGAGCGAACGGGGAGGAGCCCAGAGCCUGAAUCAGUGUGUGUGUUAGUGGAAGCGUCUGGAAAGGCGCGCGAUACAGGGUGACAGCCCCGUACACAAAAAUGCACAUAUUGUGAGCUCGAUGAGUAGGGCGGGACACGUGGUAUCCUGUCUGAAUAUGGGGGGACCAUCCUCCAAGGCUAAAUACUCCUGACUGACCGAUAGUGAACCAGUACCGUGAGGGAAAGGCGAAAAGAACCCCGGCGAGGGGAGUGAAAAAGAACCUGAAACCGUGUACGUACAAGCAGUGGGAGCCUCUUAAUGGGGUGACUGCGUACCUUUUGUAUAAUGGGUCAGCGACUUAUAUUCUGUAGCAAGGUUAACCGAAUAGGGGAGCCGAAGGGAAACCGAGUCUUAACUGGGCGUUAAGUUGCAGGGUAUAGACCCGAAAUCCGGUGAUCUAGCCAUGGGCAGGUUGAAGGUUGGGUAACACUAACUGGAGGACCGAACCGACUAAUGUUGAAAAAUUAGCGGAUGACUUGUGGCUGGGGGUGAAAGGCCAAUCAAACCGGGAGAUAGCUGGUUCUCCCCGAAAGCUAUUUAGGUAGCGCCUCGUGAAUUCAUCUCCGGGGGUAGAGCACUGUUUCGGCAAGGGGGUCAUCCCGACUUACCAACCCGAUGCAAACUGCGAAUACCGGAGAAUGUUAUCACGGGAGACACACGGCGGGUGCUAACGUCCGUCGUGAAGAGGGAAACAACCCAGACCGCCAGCUAAGGUCCCAAAGUCAUGGUUAAGUGGGAAACGAUGUGGGAAGGCCCAGACAGCCAGGAUGUUGGCUUAGAAGCAGCCAUCAUUUAAAGAAAGCGUAAUAGCUCACUGGUCGAGUCGGCCUGCGCGGAAGAUGUAACGGGGCUAAACCAUGCACCGAAGCUGCGGCAGCGACGCUUAUGCGUUGUUGGGUAGGGGAGCGUUCUGUAAGCCUGUGAAGGUGUGCUGUGAGGCAUGCUGGAGGUAUCAGAAGUGCGAAUGCUGACAUAAGUAACGAUAAAGCGGGUGAAAAGCCCGCUCGCCGGAAGACCAAGGGUUCCUGUCCAACGUUAAUCGGGGCAGGGUGAGUCGACCCCUAAGGCGAGGCCGAAAGGCGUAGUCGAUGGGAAACAGGUUAAUAUUCCUGUACUUGGUGUUACUGCGAAGGGGGGACGGAGAAGGCUAUGUUGGCCGGGCGACGGUUGUCCCGGUUUAAGCGUGUAGGCUGGUUUUCCAGGCAAAUCCGGAAAACCAAGGCUGAGGCGUGAUGACGAGGCACUACGGUGCUGAAGCAACAAAUGCCCUGCUUCCAGGAAAAGCCUCUAAGCAUCAGGUAACAUCAAAUCGUACCCCAAACCGACACAGGUGGUCAGGUAGAGAAUACCAAGGCGCUUGAGAGAACUCGGGUGAAGGAACUAGGCAAAAUGGUGCCGUAACUUCGGGAGAAGGCACGCUGAUAUGUAGGUGAAGCGACUUGCUCGUGGAGCUGAAAUCAGUCGAAGAUACCAGCUGGCUGCAACUGUUUAUUAAAAACACAGCACUGUGCAAACACGAAAGUGGACGUAUACGGUGUGACGCCUGCCCGGUGCCGGAAGGUUAAUUGAUGGGGUUAGCGGCAACGCGAAGCUCUUGAUCGAAGCCCCGGUAAACGGCGGCCGUAACUAUAACGGUCCUAAGGUAGCGAAAUUCCUUGUCGGGUAAGUUCCGACCUGCACGAAUGGCGUAAUGAUGGCCAGGCUGUCUCCACCCGAGACUCAGUGAAAUUGAACUCGCUGUGAAGAUGCAGUGUACCCGCGGCAAGACGGAAAGACCCCGUGAACCUUUACUAUAGCUUGACACUGAACAUUGAGCCUUGAUGUGUAGGAUAGGUGGGAGGCUUUGAAGUGUGGACGCCAGUCUGCAUGGAGCCGACCUUGAAAUACCACCCUUUAAUGUUUGAUGUUCUAACGUUGGCCCGUAAUCCGGGUUGCGGACAGUGUCUGGUGGGUAGUUUGACUGGGGCGGUCUCCUCCUAAAGAGUAACGGAGGAGCACGAAGGUUGGCUAAUCCUGGUCGGACAUCAGGAGGUUAGUGCAAUGGCAUAAGCCAGCUUGACUGCGAGCGUGACGGCGCGAGCAGGUGCGAAAGCAGGUCAUAGUGAUCCGGUGGUUCUGAAUGGAAGGGCCAUCGCUCAACGGAUAAAAGGUACUCCGGGGAUAACAGGCUGAUACCGCCCAAGAGUUCAUAUCGACGGCGGUGUUUGGCACCUCGAUGUCGGCUCAUCACAUCCUGGGGCUGAAGUAGGUCCCAAGGGUAUGGCUGUUCGCCAUUUAAAGUGGUACGCGAGCUGGGUUUAGAACGUCGUGAGACAGUUCGGUCCCUAUCUGCCGUGGGCGCUGGAGAACUGAGGGGGGCUGCUCCUAGUACGAGAGGACCGGAGUGGACGCAUCACUGGUGUUCGGGUUGUCAUGCCAAUGGCACUGCCCGGUAGCUAAAUGCGGAAGAGAUAAGUGCUGAAAGCAUCUAAGCACGAAACUUGCCCCGAGAUGAGUUCUCCCUGAGACUUAGAGUCUCCUGAAGGAACGUUGAAGACGACGACGUUGAUAGGCCGGGUGUGUAAGCGCAGCGAUGCGUUGAGCUAACCGGUACUAAUGAACCGUGAGGCUUAACCUU
This 2905-nucleotide ribosomal RNA is filed under the name Escherichia coli. RNAcentral's name for it is "23S ribosomal RNA". It matches the Rfam family "Bacterial large subunit ribosomal RNA". Lineage: Bacteria; Pseudomonadati; Pseudomonadota; Gammaproteobacteria; Enterobacterales; Enterobacteriaceae. The record is from RNAcentral.